This 2430-nucleotide long non-coding RNA is filed under the name Capsicum annuum. Its description in RNAcentral is "long non-coding RNA (CANN_LNC019940)". Lineage: Eukaryota; Viridiplantae; Streptophyta; Magnoliopsida; Solanales; Solanaceae. The record is from RNAcentral.
AUGCCCUAAUUUCGAAUGUUUUAAAAUCCGGUUAACCUCUUUACACAUGCACAAGUACACCACCGUAAUUUCUAACCUCGUUAAGAUUUUGUCUUUGCACAUACUCUAAAAGCAGCUCAGUACUCCAUAAUUUUUUUUUUAAUUUUUUUUUUCAUUUCAAUAUAUGACGAAACUAAUGGCUGACUAUAUGGAAUUUCUCGAAGCUUUUUGGAAGGAUUUAACUGAGAUAGACCCUAACUAUUUCAAUAUGGGUCGUACCUUCCGAUUUUGGAUGGUGAGAUACUGGGUUUAGACGAUUUCGUGAUUCCCGAUGUCGAGGGUUUAAAUGAUUUUGUGGUUAAUGUGAAUGAGGACGAAGAGGAUGAAGAGGAGCUUGCGGAUGCAGGGAGUGUGUUUAAUAGGCCAUCAUGGCAUUUUGAUGAUUUAGUGCGCCUUCCCAGUGGCUCUCCGGAGCAGUAUUUCUUUCUUGCUAUGGUAUGAAUUUUUGUAUUCGGUGCCACUUUUCAUUUUCAAGCUGUGAUUGCCACUAUUAGCUUGGUUCUUUGUUUUCCAUGAUUGUUUUGGUGAAUUCUUUCUCAUGUGAUUGUAUUAUAAUGGUUGCUUAUGGCAUUUGCUUGCUUAAUUAAUUGCCAGAUUAAUCUGUAGUGUGUGCGUUUCAUAUUCUUGAUUUUGGUGAUCAUAUUUUGUAAUUGAUGAUCACAUUGCUUUUCCAUGUAAAAGUUGGGUGCUUUUCAUAUUUUCUUGCUGUUUUUCUCAUGUGUUUUUUCUAUCUUUCAAGUUACGUAAUGUUUUAUGCUGUCUUGAUCAAUUUUGUACUGUAGGUUAGAGCUAAUAGUAAUAUUUUACAGGUAUAUUUGACGAUUGGUUUAAGCUUGUCCAUCAUCGUUCUUGGGGGUUUAUUCAAGUUCCGUGUUGGCUUGUUAUCCUUUAUUGUUUUUUCUGGCCUUUGCACUCCAUCUAGAUUGGGCCCAACUACCAGAGUAGAAGAUUUUACUCUUUGUGAUGAUUACUGGGAGUUUUUCUUAUUCUGUUGGGAUGGUUUGUCGGUUUGCUGUUAAGUCUAUUUCCACCUUUAAUCCUCUGUAAGAAGUUUGUAAGGUUGUGUCAUUUAUUAACAUAAUCUUGUUUUGUGGACGCUAAUUGAUGUUGGAUAAUUUUGAUUGGUUCGAAACAGAUUAUGGUUUAUCGUGUCUUCUGGGUGGGCUUUCUGUUUAUUGGUGUUUGCUGUCGGAGCGAUGUUUUUAGGCAGAGGUGCUAUGCCAUUUGGUGUACCCUGUUUAUCUUGGUUGUGUCGGGUGUCUUUCUACUUAUCAGCUGUACUAUUGUGUUACCUUUGUCGUAUAUGUGGAAGGUACUUUUAUUUUACAUACAUUCUUGUAUCUUUACUAUUGACUGGUUAUUUUCAUUGCUUUUAACAUUUCUUUUUAUUUUAAUUUUAGGUUUUUGUGUCGCAAGUUUUGAUUUGUUUGUAUGUUAUCUUGUUCACUCAAGAUAUGUUGUAUGACUAUGAAGUCAAUUUAGCGCAUGGGCUUGACGAUGGUUGUCGCCAUGUAUUCACAUUUUAUAGUGGGAUUUUCACUUUUUUGCGUCGCAUGGUGAGUUUUUACUGCUUAUUGUAUGAAUAUACUCAAGUGUUUACACAGUCUUUAAUGGUUAAUAUUGUCUUCAUUAGCUGGAUUUAUGUUUUGGCGUUGGAGUUCCUUCUGGUGGAGGUGGUGCUGUCGGUUGAGGUCCUACUUGAUGUAGUGAGUUACACGUCAAGUUAAGUUUUUGAAUGAUCUCUUUAUGGUACUUGUUAAUAGUACCUACAUUCUUGUUACAAAAUGUUCCUCAGUGGAACUUCUACCUCUGAUUGAGUUUUUUGCAGUGAAAUACUGCUGCUAUGACUUAAAAUCACCCAUUGCUUGAUAAAUGCACUUUUAGAACUGCAUACAAGUUCAGUUUUUGAAUGAAAUCAGUAUGUUGUUGAGUUUAGGUGUUUGCUGUUGGAAUUAAUUUAAGUCUUAAUUGUAUCAAUUCUGUGCAUGCCUUGUCAACAUAAUCAAUGAAUCCUAGAUUUCCAACAGACGACUUAAUCAUAGAAAUGCAUUCCAAGGUUUUGGCAAGGAGCAUGUGGCCCGUAUUUUUAUUAGCGGUUACCAAGAAACACGACGAACUUAUUCACUAUUUUGUGCUGGGAAUGUGAAGUUGAUUUUGGAGAUGGUAGCUGAAAGUUUUUUUUAAAGACGCGGUACUAGUAUUUGAUUGAAAGAGAAGAGGAGAAUGCCAUAUUGAAAUAGUGCAAACAAUAUGUUGAAAUAGUAUGUUUAGUAGUUUGCUUUCUUUCUAUGUAUAUGAACUUCUCCCUUGAGGAAGGCCUCACUAUUGAUGUUGUAAAGAUAUUUUAUAUUUAGCUAUGUUAAUUAUAUAUAGAGAGAGAUAUUUUGCUUA